Molecule: ribosomal RNA, 1429 nt
Filed under: metagenome
Description: bacterial LSU rRNA
Rfam family: Bacterial large subunit ribosomal RNA
Source: RNAcentral
CAAGGUGGUAGGCUGAAAUCUUAGGUAAAUCCGGGGUUUCAAGGCCGAGAGCUGAUGACGAGUCGUCUUUUAGAUGACGAAGUGGUUGAUGCCAUGCUUCCAAGAAAAGCUUCUAAGCUUCAGGUAACCAGGAACCGUACCCCAAACCGACACAGGUGGUCGGGUAGAGAAUACCAAGGCGCUUGAGAGAACUCGGGUGAAGGAACUAGGCAAAAUGGCACCGUAACUUCGGGAGAAGGUGCGCCGGCUAGGGUGAAGGAUUUACUCCGUAAGCUCUGGCUGGUCGAAGAUACCAGGCCGCUGCGACUGUUUAUUAAAAACACAGCACUCUGCAAACACGAAAGUGGACGUAUAGGGUGUGACGCCUGCCCGGUGCCGGAAGGUUAAUUGAUGGGGUUAGCGCAAGCGAAGCUCUUGAUCGAAGCCCCGGUAAACGGCGGCCGUAACGAUAACGGUCCUAAGGUAGCGAAAUUCCUUGUCGGGUAAGUUCCGACCUGCACGAAUGGCGUAACGAUGGCGGCGCUGUCUCCACCCGAGACUCAGUGAAAUUGAAAUCGCUGUGAAGAUGCAGUGUAUCCGCGGCUAGACGGAAAGACCCCGUGAACCUUUACUGUAGCUUUGCACUGGACUUUGAGCCUGCUUGUGUAGGAUAGGUGGGAGGCUUUGAAGCGUGGACGCCAGUUCGCGUGGAGCCAUCCUUGAAAUACCACCCUGGCAUGCUUGAGGUUCUAACUCUGGUCCGUAAUCCGGACCGAGGACAGUGUAUGGUGGGCAGUUUGACUGGGGCGGUCUCCUCCUAAAGAGUAACGGAGGAGUACGAAGGUGCGCUCAGACCGGUCGGAAAUCGGUCGCAGAGUAUAAAGGCAAAAGCGCGCUUGACUGCGAGACAGACACGUCGAGCAGGUACGAAAGUAGGUCUUAGUGAUCCGGUGGUUCUGUAUGGAAGGGCCAUCGCUCAACGGAUAAAAGGUACUCCGGGGAUAACAGGCUGAUACCGCCCAAGAGUUCAUAUCGACGGCGGUGUUUGGCACCUCGAUGUCGGCUCAUCACAUCCUGGGGCUGAAGCCGGUCCCAAGGGUAUGGCUGUUCGCCAUUUAAAGUGGUACGCGAGCUGGGUUUAGAACGUCGUGAGACAGUUCGGUCCCUAUCUGCCGUGGACGUUUGAGAUUUGAGAGGGGCUGCUCCUAGUACGAGAGGACCGGAGUGGACGAACCUCUGGUGUUCCGGUUGUCACGCCAGUGGCAUUGCCGGGUAGCUAUGUUCGGAAAAGAUAACCGCUGAAAGCAUCUAAGCGGGAAACUUGCCUCAAGAUGAGAUCUCACUGGGAACUUGAUUCCCCAGAAGGGCCGUCGAAGACUACGACGUUGAUAGGCUGGGUGUGUAAGCGUUGUGAGGCGUUGAGCUAACCAGUACUAAUUGCCCGUGAGGC